AAUUUUUCUGCACCACAUUUGUUCCUGGCUUCUAUCACAUUUACUGAAUUUUCAUAUAUCAAUCUGUGCCUUAGGAGACCCACUCACCUUUACAAAAAUGUAUUUUUGAAAAUAAGCCUUAAGAACCUUCCAGACUCAGGGGUAGAAAAGGAAGGAAAAUCAGAACUAAGACAGGGUAUGUGCUGGAGAAAAGAGGGAGUCCUCCAAGAGACCAUAAAUUUCUUUUCAUUUUACCAACAUAUAGAUUCAUGUUGGCAAUCCACGUGGCUGCUGAAUCAUAGAUUCAUUUACAAGUAACCUGUAGGUCUUACAAAUAAAAAUUCAGUGCUGUAAAAUCAUUGUAUGGGCACAUAAGACCUGAGUAAAUCACACGCAUUUCAAAUCUUCUGGUCCUGGAGAUGUGCAGCACAGAAUCUGCAGAUAAAAGCAAUGCCAUCCAAAAUAUCAUCACUUUGGGGUCUGUGGAGACAGUGGUGGGGAUGUGAUGUGCUGGCGGCUAGAAUGAUAAUCUUCCACAUGUUUGGUGUUAAACAAGUCUAUAAAUCAAGGCUCCAGGAAUCAAUUUUUCCCAUGUUCAUUUUGGGGGACAGUAAGUGAAGCUUGUCUGCAUAACAUGUGAAUGAUUCAUAUUUUAGGCAUUUUCACCAUGCCUAAGAUCUCACUUGUCUCUUCCCAAUACAACUCUAAGGUUUUGUACUGUAAGUCAAAAGCUUAUGAAAAGGAGUUGAGAUGAUUUUGUGAUUUAUGAGAGGUAGCGACAAGCAUGGAAUGGAUGUGCUGUGACAUCUUCAGAAGAUAGUUGGUCACCUGUGACCACAGCAGACCCUUCCUGGUGAUUACAUUGUCCCUCCCAGUCCUUUCAACUGUUUUUGUCCUGUGCCCACCAGUGCUAGAGGCUGUGAAAAGCUGGUGUCUGCUGUCUUUAGGGAAAUCUGUGGAUUUCAUACUUGACUCACAGACAUCUAUGUUGCACCACUGAUGAUGCUAAUUUACAAAGACAGUUAAUACCGAGGGCUAUCAGUGUAUCUACUGAUCAUAUGCAUCUGGAGACUAAGAAAACAUCUUCACAAGAUGAAAAGAAGCAGUUUCCACCAGUGUGAAUCAGUCCUAAAUAUAUGAGGUUUUUGCUUCAUGGUUCAGCAUCUGUACUACUUGCUGCACCUGAAGACAGUUAUCAACAGUCAAAAGUCAGCAAGAAAUCUCCCAGCAACUUCAAGAGCAAAAAGAAAAGGUGCUGAACUACUAUGUAUCAUUCUCCCAACUCAGGGUUAAGCAACACAGUCAAAAAGUGGCAGCUACUCUUGCCCAUUUCAUACUCUGUGCUGAGAGAAUUUUUGCCUCCCGAUCUCUUAAUCUAGUUCUUAUCAGUGUUCUCCUUUCACUGAAAAAAAAUCCAAACCACAGACAAAUACAUAUCAGACUUAGCAAUAUACUUAACUGGAGAGAUGAAAAUAAUGUCAUCUAUGCCUGCCCAUUUAUCAGCAUCUUUGUUAUUCUGAGAAAUAGAGAUGAAAAGUUAAAAAACACCAAUGCAUUUCAACUCUGCCAUUUCUAGGAUUAUUCUUUCUGUGCAUGCUUCUCUGCCUUGCAGGGUAAACACAUAAAGCAAUGAGUAGACAAGAAGCACUCCCAGCAAAAGAGAAUUUACAAAUCUUCAAAUGAUGUUGAAUGUGAGUGGGCAGACCAUGACAAAAUGUUCGCACUUCAUCAAAUCUAACUAGUUUGCCACUACAUAUUUAUGCUAUAAACUGUGAACUGGAGUUCCUCUGUGGGAGAGUAACCUAAAUGAAAUGACAAGAAGCAAAAAGACAACUGCUUUUGCAGCCCAUUCCCUGAUGUGUGCUGAUAUAUACCAGACUCGGCCACCCCCUAUACUUCUGUGCUCAGUCUCUCACAACUUGACUUUUUUCUGUGAAGGCUAAUUAAAAGGCAAAGGCAUUAGAUCAAUGAAACACAAGGAAAAUUGCAGAAAACAUGUUGAGAAUGGGCACUCCCAUGAAUGAGGCAAAGAGAGAGGAAUAUGUUUACAGUUCUUUCACUGCUCCAAAGAAAGUUCACUAAGAUGCUACCAGAG
This is a long non-coding RNA of Haliaeetus leucocephalus (bald eagle), 2074 nucleotides long. RefSeq lists it as uncharacterized. Lineage: Eukaryota; Metazoa; Chordata; Aves; Accipitriformes; Accipitridae. The record is from RefSeq and is a predicted model, not a curated record. The transcript has 3 exons.